CGAUCCACUCCCGUUCUCGUCACCCUUGGCAGAUUGAGAUAAAAUUUCGGAGACACAAGGUAAGGAUUUUUAUUGGUUGCAGUCGAAACUCGCUGCAUCCAAUCAAAAAGCGCCUAUAACAUGAUCAUGUGUAAAUGUAGAAAGUGUUUGUAAACAAUUGCCACGUGUUUAUUGUGCAACAAGUCUUUACAUUCUAUAAACAUACGACUAUAUUUAGUGACAAC
RNAcentral lists this long non-coding RNA (224 nucleotides) under Mytilus galloprovincialis (Mediterranean mussel). The record is from RNAcentral. Lineage: Eukaryota; Metazoa; Mollusca; Bivalvia; Mytilida; Mytilidae.